This 492-nucleotide ribosomal RNA is filed under the name uncultured bacterium. RNAcentral describes it as "partial 16S ribosomal RNA". It matches the Rfam family "Bacterial small subunit ribosomal RNA", at positions 31 to 507 of the family's 1533-position model. The record is from RNAcentral.
GAACGCUGGCGGCGUGCCUAAUACAUGCAAGUAGAACGCUGAAGGAGGAGCUUGCUUCUCUGGAUGAGUUGCGAACGGGUGAGUAACGCGUAGGUAACCUGCCUGGUAGUGGGGGAUAACUAUUGGAAACGAUAGCUAAUACCGCAUAAUAGCAGUUGUUGCAUGAUAACUGUUUGAAAGGUGCAAUUGCACCGCUACCAGAUGGACCUGCGUUGUAUUAGCUAGUUGGUGGGGUAACGGCUCACCAAGGCGACGAUACAUAGCCGACCUGAGAGGGUGAUCGGCCACACUGGGACUGAGACACGGCCCAGACUCCUACGGGAGGCAGCAGUAGGGAAUCUUCGGCAAUGGACGGAAGUCUGACCGAGCAACGCCGCGUGAGUGAAGAAGGUUUUCGGAUCGUAAAGCUCUGUUGUAAGAGAAGAACGAGUGUGAGAGUGGAAAGUUCACACUGUGACGGUAUCUUACCAGAAAGGGACGGCUAACUACGUG